GGCGAACGGGUGAGUAACACGUGGGUGACCUGCCCUCCACUCUGGGAUAAGCCCGGGAAACUGGGUCUAAUACCGGAUAGGACCACUGAUCGCAUGGUUGGUGGUGGAAAGUUUUUUCGGUGGGGGAUGGGCCCGCGGCCUAUCAGCUUGUUGGUGGGGUGAUGGCCUACCAAGGCGGUGACGGGUAGCCGGCCUGAGAGGGCGACCGGCCACACUGGGACUGAGACACGGCCCAGACUCCUACGGGAGGCAGCAGUGGGGAAUAUUGCGCAAUGGGCGGAAGCCUGACGCAGCGACGCCGCGUGGGGGAUGACGGCCUUCGGGUUGUAAACCUCUUUCGCCAGGGACGAAGAGCAAUUGACGGUACCUGGAGAAGAAGCACCGGCCAACUACGUGCCAGCAGCCGCGGUAACACGUAGGGUGCGAGCGUUGUCCGGAAUUAUUGGGCGUAAAGAGCUCGUAGGCGGUGUGUCGCGUCGGCCGUGAAAACUUGGGGCUUAACUCUGAGCGUGCGGUCGAUACGGGCAUCACUUGAGUUCGGCAGGGGAGACUGGAAUUCCUGGUGUAGCGGUGAAAUGCGCAGAUAUCAGGAGGAACACCGGUGGCGAAGGCGGGUCUCUGGGCCGAUACUGACGCUGAGGAGCGAAAGCGUGGGGAGCGAACAGGAUUAGAUACCCUGGUAGUCCACGCCGUAAACGUUGGGCGCUAGGUGUGGGGACCAUUCCACGGUUUCUGUGCCGCAGCUAACGCAUU
Molecule: ribosomal RNA, 753 nt
Filed under: Actinomycetes bacterium
Lineage: Bacteria; Bacillati; Actinomycetota; Actinomycetes
Description: bacterial SSU rRNA
Rfam family: Bacterial small subunit ribosomal RNA
Source: RNAcentral